This 253-nucleotide ribosomal RNA is filed under the name uncultured bacterium. Its description in RNAcentral is "partial 16S ribosomal RNA". It matches the Rfam family "Bacterial small subunit ribosomal RNA", at positions 524 to 776 of the family's 1533-position model. The record is from RNAcentral.
UACGUAGGUGGCAAGCGUUAUCCGGAAUUAUUGGGCGUAAAGCGCGCGCAGGUGGUUUCUUAAGUCUGAUGUGAAAGCCCACGGCUCAACCGUGGAGGGUCAUUGGAAACUGGGAGACUUGAGUGCAGAAGAGGAAAGUGGAAUUCCAUGUGUAGCGGUGAAAUGCGUAGAGAUAUGGAGGAACACCAGUGGCGAAGGCGGUUGCCUGGGGCUUUGCUGACGCUGAUGCGCGAAAGCGUGGGGAGCGAUCCGG